Molecule: ribosomal RNA, 468 nt
Filed under: uncultured bacterium
Lineage: Bacteria
Description: partial 16S ribosomal RNA
Rfam family: Bacterial small subunit ribosomal RNA
Source: RNAcentral
GACGAACGCUGGCGGCGUGCUUAACACAUGCAAGUCGAACGGAAAGGCCCGGCUUUUGUGGGGUGCUCGAGUGGCGAACGGGGGAGUAACACGUGAGUAACCUGCCCUUGACUUUGGGAUAACUUCAGGAAACUGGGGCUAAUACCGGAUAGGAGCUCCUGCUGCAUGGUGGGGGUUGGAAAGUUUCGGCGGUUGGGGAUGGACUCGCGGCUUAUCAGCUUGUUGGUGGGGUAGUGGCUUACCAAGGCUUUGACGGGUAGCCGGCCUGAGAGGGUGACCGGCCACAUUGGGACUGAGAUACGGCCCAGACUCCUACGGGAGGCAGCAGUGGGGAAUAUUGCACAAUGGGCGGAAGCCUGAUGCAGCAACGCCGCGUGCGGGAUGACGGCCUUCGGGUUGUAAACCGCUUUCGCCUGUGACGAAGCGUGAGUGACGGUAAUGGGUAAAGAAGCACCGGCUAACUACGUG